Dipodomys ordii (Ord's kangaroo rat) is the source of this 87-nucleotide non-coding RNA. The record is from Rfam. Lineage: Eukaryota; Metazoa; Chordata; Mammalia; Rodentia; Heteromyidae.
ACCACUGAGCCACCUUCCCAGCCCCAGUAAAGUUUUUAACGUUUAUUAAAAAUAGGAAUAUUUGGGCUGGGAAGGUGGCUCAGUGGU